AUUGAACGCUGGCGGCAGGCCUAACACAUGCAAGUCGAGCGGAUGAAGGGAGCUUGCUCCUGGAUUCAGCGGCGGACGGGUGAGUAAUGCCUAGGAAUCUGCCUGGUAGUGGGGGAUAACGUCCGGAAACGGGCGCUAAUGCCGCAUACGUCCUGAGGGAGAAAGUGGGGGAUCUUCGGACCUCACGCUAUCAGAUGAGCCUAGGUCGGAUUAGCUAGUUGGUGGGGUAAAGGCCUACCAAGGCGACGAUCCGUAACUGGUCUGAGAGGAUGAUCAGUCACACUGGAACUGAGACAUGGUCCAGACUCCUACGGGAGGCAGCAGUGGGGAAUAUUGGACAAUGGGCGAAAGCCUGAUCCAGCCAUGCCGCGUGUGUGAAGAAGGUCUUCGGAUUGUAAAGCACUUUAAGUUGGGAGGAAGGGCAGUAAGUUAAUACCUUGCUGUUUUGACGUUACCAACAGAAUAAGCACCGGCUAACUUCGUG
This 484-nucleotide ribosomal RNA is filed under the name uncultured bacterium. RNAcentral's name for it is "partial 16S ribosomal RNA". It matches the Rfam family "Bacterial small subunit ribosomal RNA", at positions 30 to 507 of the family's 1533-position model. The record is from RNAcentral.